UUAAAUCAAGUUUGUAUGGAUUUGGAACGUUUGCCGCUAGGGGCGCUGUUCCAAUUGCAUACAAAACUUGGGUUA
Molecule: microRNA precursor, 75 nt
Filed under: Bombyx mori (domestic silkworm)
Lineage: Eukaryota; Metazoa; Arthropoda; Insecta; Lepidoptera; Bombycidae
Description: mir-2807 microRNA precursor family
Rfam family: mir-2807 microRNA precursor family
Source: Rfam by way of RNAcentral